AUUGAACGCUGGCGGCAGGCCUAACACAUGCAAGUCGAGCGGCAGCGGGAAAGUAGCUUGCUACUUUUGCCGGCGAGCGGCGGACGGGUGAGUAAUGCCUGGGAAAUUGCCCAGUCGAGGGGGAUAACAGUUGGAAACGACUGCUAAUACCGCAUACGCCCUACGGGGGAAAGCAGGGGACCUUCGGGCCUUGCGCGAUUGGAUAUGCCCAGGUGGGAUUAGCUAGUUGGUGGGGUAAUGGCUCACCAAGGCUACGAUCCCUAGCUGGUAUGAGAGGAGGAUCAGCCACACUGGAACUGAGACACGGUCCAGACUCCUACGGGAGGCAGCAGUGGGGAAUAUUGCACAAUGGGGGAAACCCUGAUGCAGCCAUGCCGCGUGUGUGAAGAAGGCCUUCGGGUUGUAAAGCACUUUCAGCGAGGAGGAAAGGUUGAUGCCUAAUACGUAUCAACUGUGACGUUACUCGCAGAAGAAGCACCGGCUAACUCCGUGCCAGCCGCCGCAGUAA
RNAcentral lists this ribosomal RNA (508 nucleotides) under uncultured bacterium. RNAcentral's name for it is "partial 16S ribosomal RNA". It matches the Rfam family "Bacterial small subunit ribosomal RNA", at positions 30 to 523 of the family's 1533-position model. The record is from RNAcentral.